This 771-nucleotide ribosomal RNA is filed under the name uncultured Corynebacterium sp. Its description in RNAcentral is "bacterial SSU rRNA". The record is from RNAcentral. Lineage: Bacteria; Bacillati; Actinomycetota; Actinomycetes; Mycobacteriales; Corynebacteriaceae.
CAGCAGCCGCGGUAAUACGUAGGGKGCGAGCGUUGUCCGGAAUUACUGGGCGUAAAGAGCUCGUAGGUGGUUUGUCGCGUCGUUUGUGUAAGCCCGCAGCUUAACUGCGGGACUGCAGGCGAUACGGGCAUAACUUGAGUGCUGUAGGGGAGACUGGAAUUCCUGGUGUAGCGGUGGAAUGCGCAGAUAUCAGGAGGAACACCGAUGGCGAAGGCAGGUCUCUGGGCAGUAACUGACGCUGAGGAGCGAAAGCAUGGGUAGCGAACAGGAUUAGAUACCCUGGUAGUCCAUGCCGUAAACGGUGGGCGCUAGGUGUGAGUCCCUUCCACGGGGUUCGUGCCGUAGCUAACGCAUUAAGCGCCCCGCCUGGGGAGUACGGCCGCAAGGCUAAAACUCAAAGGAAUUGACGGGGGCCCGCACAAGCGGCGGAGCAUGUGGAUUAAUUCGAUGCAACGCGAAGAACCUUACCUGGGCUUGACAUACACCAGACCGSKSCAGAGAUGKUSUUUCCCUUUGUGGUUGGUGUACAGGUGGUGCAUGGUUGUCGUCAGCUCGUGUCGUGAGAUGUUGGGUUAAGUCCCGCAACGAGCGCAACCCUUGUCUUAUGUUGCCAGCACGUKAUGGUGGGGACUCRUGARAGACUGCCGGGGUUAACUCGGAGGAAGGUGGGGAUGACGUCAAAUCAUCAUGCCCCUUAUGUCCAGGGCUUCACACAUGCUACAAUGGUCGGUACAACGCGUCUGCGAGCCUGUGAGGGUGAGCUAAUCGCUG